This 253-nucleotide ribosomal RNA is filed under the name uncultured bacterium. RNAcentral's name for it is "partial 16S ribosomal RNA". It matches the Rfam family "Bacterial small subunit ribosomal RNA", at positions 524 to 776 of the family's 1533-position model. The record is from RNAcentral.
UACAGAGACUGCAAGCGUUAUUCGGAUUCACUGGGCGUAAAGGGUGCGCAGGCGGCCGGGUGUGUCAGAUGUGAAAUCCCGAGGCUCAACCUCGGAACUGCGUCUGAAACUACUCGGCUAGAGUACUGGAGAGGGUAACGGAAUUCACGGUGUAGCAGUGAAAUGCGUAGAUAUCGUGAGGAACACCAGAGGCGAAGGCGGUUACCUGGACAGUUACUGACGCUCAGGCACGAAAGCGUGGGGAGCAAAAGGG